Molecule: non-coding RNA, 127 nt
Organism: Hypoxylon argillaceum
Lineage: Eukaryota; Fungi; Ascomycota; Sordariomycetes; Xylariales; Hypoxylaceae
Source: the annotation of a GenBank genome assembly
UCCGAAUUGGUGUAACGGUUAACAUUUGACGUUUUCAUUCUUCCCAAUGAUCUGGUACGAAAUGCCGGAACAUAAUAUGGACAUGGAAAAUACCGUCAGGCUCGGGGUUCGAUUCCCCGAUUCGGAG